UACGGAGGGUGCAAGCGUUAUCCGGAAUCAUUGGGUUUAAAGGGUCCGCAGGCGGUCUUAUAAGUCAGUGGUGAAAGCCUACAGCUCAACUGUAGAACUGCCAUUGAUACUGUAGGACUUGAAUUCGAUCGAAGUGGGCGGAAUGUGACAUGUAGCGGUGAAAUGCUUAGAUAUGUCACAGAACACCGAUAGCGAAGGCAGCUCACUAGGUCUGGAUUGACGCUCAGGGACGAAAGCGUGGGGAGCAAACAGGAUUAGAUACCCUGGUAGUCCACGCCGUAAACUAUCAAUACUCGUUUUCGGGGCCUUCGGGCUUCGGAGACCAAGCGAAAGUGAUAAGUAUUGCACCUGGGGAGUACGAUCGCAAGGUUGAA
This 374-nucleotide ribosomal RNA is filed under the name uncultured bacterium. Its description in RNAcentral is "bacterial SSU rRNA". It matches the Rfam family "Bacterial small subunit ribosomal RNA", at positions 524 to 898 of the family's 1533-position model. The record is from RNAcentral.